CCUACGGGGGGCAGCAGUGAGGAAUAUUGGUCAAUGGGCGGGAGCCUGAACCAGCCAAGUCGCGUGAAGGAAGAAGGUACUUAGUAUUGUAAACUUCUUUUGUCGGGGAACAAAGGCGGAGACGCGUCUCCGGAUGAGUGUACCCGAAGAAAAAGCAUCGGCUAACUCCGUGCCAGCAGCCGCGGUAAUACGGAGGAUGCGAGCGUUAUCCGGAUUUAUUGGGUUUAAAGGGUGCGCAGGCGGAGGCACAAGUCAGCGGUAAAAUCGCGGGGCUCAACCCCGGCGAGCCGUUGAAACUGGCUGUUUUGAGAUGUCGAGAGGUAUGCGGAAUGCGCAGUGUAGCGGUGAAAUGCUUAGAUAUUGCGCAGAACUCCGAUUGCGAAGGCAGCAUACCGGCGGCGAUCUGACGCUGAGGCACGAAAGCGUGGGUAUCGAACAGGAUUAGAUACCCGUGUAGUC
RNAcentral lists this ribosomal RNA (459 nucleotides) under uncultured bacterium. Its description in RNAcentral is "partial 16S ribosomal RNA". It matches the Rfam family "Bacterial small subunit ribosomal RNA", at positions 338 to 795 of the family's 1533-position model. The record is from RNAcentral.